GAGGAGUUAGCUGAGAAGAGGGAGUCCUGAAAUGCCAGUUAACCCAGCAGAAGUUGAUAAGCUCACUCACAGCCAGGGACAUGGUUUCCCAGGUAUACAGUUCCAUUGUAAAGGAGGCGAUGGGUUUCUUCUCCUCUGCCGACCCACUGAAUUUUAUAAGAAAAGCCAGUGGGCUCCCAGACAAAGUUAAAAAGAACAGAACGGCAAUUUUCAUGUGGUGUUAAUUUCCGUGGAAGAAGAAAAGGCUCGACUCUCUGUCCUACUUUUCAUGAAUACUGGAAGUAGGGAAUAAAUCUGGAGUCUCACGGGUGAAAAGAGACAUUUCCAUAUUACCAGACCACAAACGUGGGUGUUGAUUCUAAGGAUACCCCCAAUAAACAUCUUUCGUGCUAAAGCCCAUUCCAGAAUUUACUUCCCAGCUAUCUUUGAUGUUCAUAUUGUCAGAGGUGGUGGCCACUGAAAUAGGCAAAGACAUGGAGCAUAUCUUGGG
This is a long non-coding RNA of Pan troglodytes (chimpanzee), 490 nucleotides long. RefSeq lists it as uncharacterized. The transcript has 4 exons. Lineage: Eukaryota; Metazoa; Chordata; Mammalia; Primates; Hominidae. The record is from RefSeq and is a predicted model, not a curated record.